This is a long non-coding RNA of Solanum stenotomum, 1144 nucleotides long. RefSeq lists it as uncharacterized. The transcript has 2 exons. Lineage: Eukaryota; Viridiplantae; Streptophyta; Magnoliopsida; Solanales; Solanaceae. The record is from RefSeq and is a predicted model, not a curated record.
UUAGGCAUCUAAAGCCUUCACAUUUGGGAGUGGAAGGACUCCUUGCAUAUUUGUGUUGUAAAACUUGCAUGCGUAUGUAGUUUAUGAAGUGUCGUAUGGUUGGUUAAUGCUAGCUAGACUCGUCACAUGCUAUAUGUGUUUUACAAACUCUUGAAAACUUGUGAGAUCCCUUUUAUCUAAAUGAUAGUGUGCAUAGCUAGAUGUUUCCAUCUUGUGUUGGUCCUCCACUUAUUGCUUCUUGUAUGCUGGAGUUUUUCCACUCAUUAAUGUAAAUAUUUUCCCUAUAAGAAAAUUGAAUCAGAUAUUCAGAUAGUUGAAUAUACUUUACAUAAUUGUUUUCCUCACCAACAUAAUGAUUUUAGGUAAAUGUGUUUUUAUUGAUUUUGGACUAGUUAAAAGUUAAAUGUAUCCAUAUGAUAGUCAAUGCCUCCCGUUGGGUAUAAAACUAUAACUAGAUUGUACUUUGGAGUGGAUUUCUUUUCUGUUUACUUUAUAUUUUAACUAUUUCAAUACAUUUUCUCUUUAUAAAUGAAGCAUAAACUGCUAUCUGCAGUCCGACAUAUGCUAAUUUGGUGGCAACAUGUGGUGGAGAUGAAGGAGAAUUUAUAUAGAAGAUUGGUCAAGGUGAUUCUAGUUUAAAGUUAUUAGAAGAUCACAGAGAUUUUGUUUAGUUUGGCUUUUAGUCCUGAUGGUCAGUUGCCUUCUCCUGAAAGCAUUGAUGGGCAUAUGAGAGUGGGACACAACUUCAGGUAGUCUGAAGGGCAAACUUGAAGGUCCUAAAAGGGAAAUUCAAGUGAAACAUUUUCUUAUGCCUAAGAAAUUCAUCUUUGCAUGACAAUUUGAGAUCCAGGGGUCUGGUAACAUCAAGAAGACAUGGUGUUGGCUAGUGCAGAGUAUCCUGUUGUUUUGAUAUGGAAUGAUGGUAUCCGAGAGGACACGAGGCAAUGGUUUCUGAGAGGAUAUUGAUAUGUACUCUAUGAUGUUUAGAGAUUUGAUAUAUGGAAGAUUAUUGAAAUGAGAACAAGAUUAGCUUUUACCUUCUCAAAAAAAAGAAGAUUAGCUUUUGGAAUCAAGUGGAGUAAUUUUUUUCAUGUUAUGUUGUUGACAUUAAGAUUAUGAAUGAAUAGUUAUUUUUUUUUGUUUA